RNAcentral lists this ribosomal RNA (301 nucleotides) under uncultured bacterium. RNAcentral describes it as "partial 16S ribosomal RNA". It matches the Rfam family "Bacterial small subunit ribosomal RNA", at positions 509 to 807 of the family's 1533-position model. The record is from RNAcentral.
CAGCCGCCGCGGGAAUACGUAGGUGGCAAGCGUUGUCCGGAAUUAUUGGGCGUAAAGGGCUCGCAGGCGGUUUCUUAAGUCUGAUGUGAAAGCCCCCGGCUCAACCGGGGAGGGUCAUUGGAAACUGGGAAACUUGAGUGCAGGAGAGGAGAGUGGAAUUCCACGUGUAGCGGUGAAAUGCGUAGAGAUGUGGAGGAACACCAGUGGCGAAGGCGACUCUCUGGUCUGUAACUGACGCUGAGGAGCGAAAGCGUGGGGAGCGAACAGGAUUAGAUACCCCCGUAGUCCCUGUCUCUUAUAC